UCUUGAUGGCUCAGCUGGUAAAGAAUCUGCCUGUAAUGCAGGAGACCUGGGUUCGAUCCCUGGGUCAGGAA
This 71-nucleotide transfer RNA is filed under the name Bos taurus (domestic cattle). It matches the Rfam family "tRNA". From Rfam's summary of the family: Transfer RNA (tRNA) molecules are approximately 80 nucleotides in length. Their secondary structure includes four short double-helical elements and three loops (D, anti-codon, and T loops). The record is from Rfam by way of RNAcentral. Lineage: Eukaryota; Metazoa; Chordata; Mammalia; Artiodactyla; Bovidae. RNAcentral also lists the same sequence under 5 other names.